RNAcentral lists this long non-coding RNA (573 nucleotides) under Nicotiana tabacum (common tobacco). RNAcentral's name for it is "long non-coding RNA (NTAB_LNC010694)". The record is from RNAcentral. Lineage: Eukaryota; Viridiplantae; Streptophyta; Magnoliopsida; Solanales; Solanaceae.
UAGAAGAGAUAUGUUCACGCUUCAAGAGGUAACCCGUGAAAUCCCGUUUAUGCUAGUUGUCUAAAUUACAUGUGAUUUUGAUACUGGGAUUGCUUCCGCUGCAUAUAAUAAUCCAUCAUUUAUAUAUAUAUAUAUAUAUAUAUAUGGUUUAAUUAUAUAUACUACUAUAUAUAUUGUGGAUCCAGGUGUAAAAUGGAAUUUUGCUACAAAUGUGGAGGAACAUGGAGCGAAAAGCAUUGGAGCUGCCAGACUCGUUAAUGAUAUUGGAUUGCCUCUUCAUGCUAACCAGAUGCUACGCUGGAUAUAUAUAUAGAGAGAGAGUUUGUUGUCCGAAUAAGGAGGAAAACCAUAUCGCUUUUUAUGCUAUUUUGUUGGUACAAAAUAUUAUGUCGUUAAUUUGGUGUGCCAUCCAAGUUGUAUUAUUACAUAGUACAUAUUGGACGAACUUACAAAGCAUUCAUUUCUUGUGCUCUUGUAAUUAAUAUGCUUGCUUAAGUUGGUGACCAAAAUGUAAUGAGGCUUUUAUUUCUUUUUCUUUGUUGUCAAAAGUUAUGGGAUUACUUUUAAAUAGGG